This is a long non-coding RNA of Cebus imitator (Panamanian white-faced capuchin), 1177 nucleotides long. RefSeq lists it as uncharacterized. Lineage: Eukaryota; Metazoa; Chordata; Mammalia; Primates; Cebidae. The transcript is spliced from 5 exons. The record is from RefSeq and is a predicted model, not a curated record.
GUAUUUCUGCGGGCGCUGAGCGUUGGAGAGUGUUUUGCAGGUGCGGCCUGCGUCCGGCCCUUCGGCACCCCCCAGCCGCGCGGUUACCCCUGGACCCGGCACCAUCCGUCCUGGCGCCCCGGAUGAGUCACUGAAGGGGCUGCGCCCGAGGCGUGACCUUUCCAGGAACCCCCAUCGGCCUCCUAAGGCCUGUGCUGUGUAUACCUCCUCCCUGACAAAAGGGGAAACUGAGGCCCCGAGGGAAGUGGGGAGAGCCGGCCGGACGUCAGGCCCAGCCCCUGGUGCAGUGUCCCAUCCCCUCCGCCGGGGUGGGCCCCUCGGGAUUCGUGUGUCCUCGGGAAAGAGACUGGCGGGCCUCGUGGGCUGUGCGGCUCUCCCGGAGACAGAUGACAGCUCUCCCUUGGAUGGCUUUGCUGGUUUCCCACCAGCUGCACCAGCCAGCGCCCCCAUCUUCCCUGCAGCACCCUGAUCUGCACUCCCUGAGGGGCUCCCACUGUCCGCGGGGUGAGGAUGUCCCUGUAUAAUCCACUGUGUGCAGAGGCAUCAUGGGAGUUGCCAUGUCGCAAACAUGCUAGACCUCAGUGUCCUUGAGCUUAAGGAAAGAUGACAGAACACUGGAGACAAAGGACUUGUAGCCUCCUGCUCUGUGGCCUCUCUUCACUCCAGGGAUGUCACCUUGGGCUGGAGACUGUUGGAGGAAACCCCAUGAGGUGCAGGCAGUGAGCCUCUCAGGACAGUGACCUGCGGACCCAGCUCCCCUGGAGGGACCUCCUCAUGAUUGUUUGGGGUUGAUCGCAGAUACUGGCAUAGCCAAGAGUGAUGAGUGAUGUCACCCCAUGACGCAUGGCCAGACCUUCUGGCCCCUGUUGCCUCCAGCACAACAUGGAUCGACUUUUCCCUCAGUGUGAGUGGGCAGAGGAAAAGCCCUGUGGCUCUGGAGACUUGGGGUCCAGAGUUGAAGACUCUUCAGCUGGCUCUGCUCUGCCAGUGCCAUAGAGACCCAUGACCCAGAAAGACUGGUUUUCUUCCAUCUAGGCCAGGCCAUCCAAUGGCCAUCCUCUGUGUCCUCCCACCUCCACCUGGUGUGACUUCUGAAAACCAAGAAUUUGGUCCUGUUGACUUGUUCUGUGCUUUGGACCAUUGUCCUCUCACCCACUUAAUAAAUCUUGAAACAUGC